Molecule: ribosomal RNA, 243 nt
Filed under: uncultured bacterium
Lineage: Bacteria
Description: partial 16S ribosomal RNA
Rfam family: Bacterial small subunit ribosomal RNA
Source: RNAcentral
UACGAAGGGGGCUAGCGUUGCUCGGAAUCACUGGGCGUAAAGGGUGCGUAGGCGGGUCUUUUAAGUCAGGGGUGAAAUCCUGGAGCUCAACUCCAGAACUGCCUUUGAUACUGAGGAUCUUGAGUUCGGGAGAGGUGAGUGGAACUGCGAGUGUAGAGGUGAAAUUCGUAGAUAUUCGCAAGAACACCAGUGGCGAAGGCGGCUCACUGGCCCGAUACUGACGCUGAGGCACGGAAAGCGAUG